This is an unclassified non-coding RNA of Neogale vison (American mink), 124 nucleotides long. The record is from Ensembl. NCBI's taxonomy places the organism in Eukaryota, Metazoa, Chordata, Mammalia, Carnivora, Mustelidae.
UGACCCCACGGCGCCAGGCAGCCUCGUGGCUUCCCAGGCCUGGCCGCCAUACGCCGGCCCACCGGCCGCUUCCAACCACCCCAGGAGCACAACCUCUUAGGGCGUUCCAACGCGGCGCCCCCUA